Molecule: long non-coding RNA, 389 nt
Organism: Gastrolobium bilobum
Lineage: Eukaryota; Viridiplantae; Streptophyta; Magnoliopsida; Fabales; Fabaceae
Exons: 3
Source: RefSeq, a predicted model, not a curated record
ACCUAGGUUGUGUGAUUUUCAACCGAUUGGAGCGAUUCAAAAGCCUAAAUCACUUAGAAUCUUCCCCUCUUUCAUAAUCCUAGCUUGCUUUUGAGUGGGAGUCCUUGUGGAGAGAGAUAUUGGCCCCCAAAGAUUCGCCCCUUUUGAGAAGUGUGGGGUUUUGGGAGUUUCUACCUCCAUGGAAGCUUGAGGAACACUCAUUCCUCUAUUGUGUGAUCAUUGGUGGAUUGAGGCAAGAGGACCAAGUGGAGUGACCAACCCUUGGGGUUGUGUGCAAUUGAGGAAAGCUCAAAGAGCAAGGUACUGAUAGAGGUGAGGUUGAUCGAGGCAAGAAGCAUGAGUAGACUGUACCUGAUAGCUGGACAUGUUGAGUUGCAUGCCAUUUAGCA